RNAcentral lists this ribosomal RNA (570 nucleotides) under uncultured Ascomycota. RNAcentral's name for it is "eukaryotic LSU rRNA". The stretch from base 203 to 356 matches the Rfam family "5.8S ribosomal RNA". Lineage: Eukaryota; Fungi; Ascomycota. The record is from RNAcentral.
CUUGGUCAUUUAGAGGAAGUAAAAGUCGUAACAAGGUCUCCGUUGGUGAACCAGCGGAGGGAUCAUUACAGAGUUGCAAAACUCCCAACCCUUUGUGAACGAACCUACCAGUUGCCUCGGCGGCGAGCCUUUCAGGCGGACCGCCGAAGGAAUACAAACUCUUUGCAUUAUAGUAUCUCUGAUUACUUAUUCAAUAAGUUAAAACUUUCAACAACGGAUCUCUUGGUUCUGGCAUCGAUGAAGAACGCAGCGAAAUGCGAUAAGUAAUGUGAAUUGCAGAAUUCAGUGAAUCAUCGAAUCUUUGAACGCACAUUGCGCCCGCUAGUAUUCUGGCGGGCAUGCCUGUUCGAGCGUCAUUUCAACCAUCAAGCCCUAGGCUUGUGUUGGAGCCCUGCGGCUGCCGCAGCCUCCUAAAAACAGUGGCGGGCUCGCUAUCACACCGAGUGCAGUAGUUUACUCUUCGCUCAGGGCGUGUGGCGGGUGCUGGCCGUGAAACCCCCUACUUUUUAAGGUUGACCUCGGAUCAGGUAGGAAUACCCGCUGAACUUAAGCAUAUCAAUAAGCGGAGGA